AACGAACGCUGGCGGCAGGCUUAAUACAUGCAAGUCGAACGUGAAAGUCCUUCGGGAUGAGUAAAGUGGCGCACGGGUGAGUAACGCGUGGGAACGUACCUUUUGGUGGGGGAUAACUACUGGAAACCGUAGCUAAUACCGCAUAAUGUCUUCGGACCAAAGAUUUAUUGCCAAAAGAUCGGCCCGCGUUGGAUUAGCUAGUUGGUGGGGUAAUGGCCUACCAAGGCGACGAUCUAUAGCUGGUCUGAGAGGAUGAUCAGCCACACUGGAACUGAGACACGGUCCAGACUCCUACGGGAGGCAGCAGUAGGGAAUAUUGGGCAAUGGGCGAAAGCCUGACCCAGCCAUGCCGCGUGAAUGAUGAAGGCCUUAGGGUUGUAAAGUUCUUUCGCAGGUGAAGAUAAUGACGGUAACCUGAUAAGAAGCCCCGGCUAACUUCGUGCCAGCAGCCGCGGUAA
RNAcentral lists this ribosomal RNA (458 nucleotides) under uncultured bacterium. RNAcentral describes it as "partial 16S ribosomal RNA". It matches the Rfam family "Bacterial small subunit ribosomal RNA", at positions 29 to 523 of the family's 1533-position model. The record is from RNAcentral.